ACCAGCGUUUUAAACAUCCAGUUUUACUACUUUCGUCUAAAUCAAAUGUUUGUACGGGGCAAAAACAAAUGCGUAUUUUAGUACGAGCUCGUACCAAAGAGUUUCACCCCAAUAUUUAUUACAUUAAUAUUAUUAGGAUCAGUUCCACAAGGUUCCGAGAGAUUGAGAAAUUUUUACAACUAAUAAAAAACGAAGGAAACAAGUGAAAUGAAAUGAAGUUGAUUAAUUUGGAAAAAAUGGCAUGAAAUGAGAUGAUAUGGGAUGAAAUAUAAUCUCAGAAAAUGGGGGUUAUUUACUGUGACUUUUUCAGUCGACUUUUUGGAGGAUCCCGAGAAGCUACGUCCAGCGGCUUUGUUUCAUUUUCCCACCUUUGUGUACUUUCACAGAUAUUAAACAUUUAAUAAACCACCGUUAUUACACAUUUAAAUCUAAAGAAACAACAUUAAACAGUCAAAAUAAAACAA
Molecule: long non-coding RNA, 464 nt
Organism: Bombyx mori (domestic silkworm)
Lineage: Eukaryota; Metazoa; Arthropoda; Insecta; Lepidoptera; Bombycidae
Exons: 2
Source: RefSeq, a predicted model, not a curated record